This 274-nucleotide ribosomal RNA is filed under the name uncultured bacterium. RNAcentral describes it as "partial 16S ribosomal RNA". It matches the Rfam family "Bacterial small subunit ribosomal RNA", at positions 523 to 796 of the family's 1533-position model. The record is from RNAcentral.
CUACGGAGGGUGCAAGCGUUAAUCGGAAUUACUGGGCGUAAAGCGUGCGUAGGUGGUUUGUUAAGUCAGAUGUGAAAGCCCCGGGCUCAACCUGGGAACUGCAUUUGAAACUGGCAUACUAGAGUAUAGGAGAGGAAAGUGGAAUUUCAGGUGUAGCGGUGAAAUGCGUAGAUAUCUGAAGGAACAUCAAUGGCGAAGGCAGCUUUCUGGACUAAUACUGACACUGAGGUACGAAAGCGUGGGUAGCAAACAGGAUUAGAAACCCUAGUAGUCC